CAUAAAUCUGAGAGUUACUCAGAUGCAGUUUCUUCGUGUUUUGAGGACAUUGAGUAAGAGAUGUGAAGCUGUGUGUCCCUAUGCCUGAGUGGUCUUAUGUAAGUGGAUGUUUAGAAUGAUGGAUGAUGCUGUGUCUGGAUCCUGAUUGAUCAGACGUGCAUGUGUCCUUUAAUAAAUGCAUUUGUAUGUGCAUGUGUGUGUGUGUGAGAGAGAGAGAGAGAGACAGAGAAACAGGCAGAUCUCUCAUGUGUGGGGCAUAGGGCGGGAUUGUCUGUUAUGUGGAUUCAGAAUGCAGUAUCAGUAUACAUCAGAAGCCUUAAAAUAUUCCUUUGACUCCAUGAUUCCAUUUUUAAAAGUCUACUCUGAGUAAAUAAUAAGUGAAUACUAGAAAACAUGAACAAAGAUUUAUAUACAAUCUUGACUGUUACAACUCUAUUUUAAAUGCUGAAGAAGAGGGCAAUGGCUAGACACAUUAUAUUGUCUAGACAAUGGUUAGACACAGAAAUAUUUAAUUACAACACAAUACCAGCAUUAAAUAUUCCUGAGGACUUAAACACAUGGGAAAUAUUAAUUAUUAGUGUUAAGUGAGAAAAACGGUAUACUACACUACAUUAUAUAAAGUACGAUUCCAGUUAAGAAAACUGUAUGCAUAGAAACAAAAAGGAAAAACAUUGAUAUUCUAAUAGUGGUUGUCUCUGGGUUGGAGGACUACAGUUAAUUUAUGCUUAUCUUCUCUUUUCUCAUAUUUAUAAUGAUUUUCCUAGGUUACUAUUAUGAGCACAUUACUUUUAUAAUGAAAGGGGAAAAAAACUAUUUGAAAAAGAGAACCUUAUUGUUAUUAUUGUUGUAAAGACCAGGUCUUGCUCUGUUGCCCAGAGUGAUCUUGAACUCCUGGCCUCAAACGAUCCUCUUGCCUCAGCCUCCCAAAGUCCUGGGAUCAUAGGUGAGAGCCACUGUGCCCGGCUCAAAGAGAGCUUUAAGGCUGACAUAUUGCCUUCACAAGUGUGGAAUGGGAGCCCUGGAAGUCAUACCUAAUUAAUGGUAAAAGGUGAAGGCUAGAAUUUUUGUUAUAGCUAGAGGAGGAUUUGAGAUUAUUAUAAAGCUUUCUUAUUUAACUCUAGUAUUGAGUAACUUGCUACAUUCUUGUAAAGCAUCGGUUUUAAUUAGGGUGUGUUGCUUACAUAGUUGUUUUUGCUAGGCUGUUUUCUGGAGAUUCUGUGCAAGAUUUGUUUCAGAGCAGUAUGUACCAUGUGUGAAGUUUCUUUACAAAUCUAUACAUUUUUGUUUCUUAAAGAAGACAUCUGGCUACCAGCCUAGCUCUCCUUCUGUUUAAUAUGUAGAAAUAAUAGACACAUUAUUUUAAAUACUAAGUACAAAAGCAAUACCAAAAGUCUUUAGGUUUCAGAGGCAGGUAAGGAGCCCACAGUAAUAAAUGGCUCCUUUUAUUUAAACCGUGAGGUGCACAGGGAGCUGGACUGAAUGUAGCCCCUAGGGGCUGGAGUUUCAACACAAAGGCAAGGGUCAAAAGAGAGGAUAUAGGGCUUGCACAGAAUGAGCAGAAGUGGAUUUCCCUAAAGGAACCAGGAGGCAGGAAUGUGUUAUCUUUUGUGAAAAGGCAUCUGAACAUCCUGCCCACCAGCACUGAGUUAUGACCAAAAUAUUGCUGUCUGCCCUGAGACAUGGAUGGAAAAAGUCAUUUGAAAAUUGGAACCCUGAGUCCUCACUAGUGCAGUGUGGAAAUCCCCAGUUGAAGGAUAGAUUAAAAACCAGAUCUGGUCAGGCACAGUGGUUCAUGCUUGUAAUCCCAGCACAUUGGGAGGUCGAGGCAAGUGGAUAGCUUGAGCCCAGGAGUUCGAGACCAGCCUGGGCAACAUGGCAAAAUACUGUCUCUACUAAAAAUACAAAAAUUAGGCAGGCGUGGUAGUGUGUGCUUGUAGUCCCAGCUACACGAGAGGCUGAGAUGAGAGGAUUGAUUGAAUCUAGAAGGUCAAGGCUGAAAUGAGCCAUGGUCAUGUCAGUGUACUCCAUCCUGGGUAACAAGGCAAGACCUUGUUUCAGAAAUUCUCUAGGAACCAUAUAGAGGCAACUCAGAUACUUUCUGCCUCUCUCAUGGCUUCUACAAUCUAAAUCAGUCAAGUAAAAAGCUUCUGCAGAUCAACAUUUCCAUGGAAGAUGAAUUUACAGGCAAAACAUACAGAGUAAGAAACUCCACAUAUGUCCAGUAGGAGUCUCAAGAGUGAGAUUAUCAAGAGAAUGGCAAAAGAACUGUUCAAAGGUGAAAUAACUGAGAAUUUUCAAGAAACGAAAAAUCCAAGGUAUUUAAAAGGCCUGCGGGUGCGGAAUAGGAUUUGAAAAUCCACACAGCAUAUCACAAUGAGGGUGAGAUGGCAGAGAAUUAAGGAUGAAGAGAAAAUCCUGAAAGUCACCGGAGAGAAAAAUCAAAUUACCAACAAAGAACAACAGAGACUUAGGGGGAUUUUUACUGGCAAUUAUAUUAUUGAAACAUUGGAAAUAUAUAUAUAUAUAUAAUUGCAUUUUAGGUUUGGGGAUACAUGUGAAGAACAUGCAGGAUUGUUGCACAGGUACAUACAUGGUAAUGUGGUUUGCUGCCUUCCUCCCCAUCACCUAUAUCUAGUAUUUCUCCCCAUAUUAUCCUUCCCCAACUCCCCACCCGCCGCUGUCCCUCCCUUAGUUCCCCUCCACAGACCUCAGCAAGUGAUGCUCCCCUCCCCGUGUCCAUGUGCUCUCAUUGUUCAACACUUGCCUAUGAGUGAGAACAUGCAGUGCUUGAUUUUCUGUUCUUGUGUCAGUUUGCUGAGAAUGAUGGUUUCCAGGUUCAUCCAUGUCUCUGCAACGGACACGAACUCGUUGUUUUUUAUGGCUGCAUAGUAUUCCACGGUGUAUAUGUGCCACAUUUUCCCUGUCCAGUCUAUCACUGAUGGACAUUUGGGUUGGUUCCAAGUCUUUGCUAUUGUAAACAGUGCUGCACUAAACAUUCGUGUCCAUGUGUCCUUAUAAGAGAACGAUUUAUAAUCAUUUGGAUAUAUACACAGUAAUGGGAUUGCUGGGUCAAAUGGAAUUUCUAUUUCUAGGUCCUUGAGGAAUUGCCACACUGUCUUCCACAAGAAUUAAACUAAUUUACACUCCCACCAGCAGUGUAAAAGUGUUCCUAUUUCUCCACAUCCUCUCCAGCAUCUGUUGUCCCCACAUUUUUUAAUGAUCGCUAUUCUAACUGGUGUGAGAUGAUAUCUCAAUGUAGUUUUGAUUUGCAUUUCUCUAAUGACCAGAGAUGAUGAGCACUUUUUAAUAUGUUUGUUGGCCUCAUAUAUGUCUUCUUUUGAAAAGUGUCUGUUUAUAUCCUUUGCCCACUUUUGAAUGGGCUUGAUUUUUUCUUGUAAAUCUGUUUUAGUUCUUUGUAGAUUCUGGAUAUUAGCCCUUUGUCAGAUGGGUAGAUUGCAAAAAUUUUUUCCCAUUCUGUUGGUUGCUGGUUCACUCUAACGAUUGUUUCUUUUGCUGUUCAGAAGCUCUGGAGUUUAAUUAGAUCCCAUUUGUUUAUUUUGGCUUUUGUUGCCAAUGCUUUUGGUAUUUUCAUCAUGAAGUACUUGCGUAUGCCUAUGUCCUGAAUGGUUUUGCCUAGAUUUUCUUCUAGGAUUUUUAUGGUGUUGGGUCUUAUGUUUAAGUCUUUAAUCCAUCUGGAGUUAAUUUUAGUGUAAGGUGUCAGGAAGGGGUCCAGUUUCUGCUUUCUGCAUGUUGCUAGCCAGUUUUCCCAUCACCAUUUAUUAAACAGGGAAUCCUUUCCCCAUUGCUUGUUUUUGUCAGGUUUGUCAAAGAUCAGAUGGUUGUAGGUGUGUGGCAUUGCCUCUGAGGCCUCUGUUCUGUUCCUUUGGUUUCUAUCUCUGUUUUGGUACCAGUACCAUGCUGUUUUGAUUACUGUAGCCUUGUAAUAUAGUUUGAGGUCAGAUAGUGUGAAGCCUCCAGCUUUGUUCUUUUUGCUUAGAAUUGACUUGGCUAUGCAGCCUCUCUUUUGGUUCCAUAUGAAGUUUAAGGUGUUUUUUUCCAGUUCUGUGAAGAAGGUCAUUGGUAGCUUGAUGGGUAUAGCAUCGAAUCUGUAAAUUACUGUGGGCAGUAUGGCCAUUUUCAUGAUAUUGAUUCUUCCUAAUCACGAGCAUGGAAUGUUUCUCCAUCUGUUUGUGUCCUCUCUUAUUUCCUUGAGCAGUGGUUUGUAGUUCUCCUUGAAGAGGUCCCUUACGUUCCUUGUAAGUUGUAUUCCUAGGUAUUUUAUUCUCUUUCUAGCAAUUGUGAAUGGCAGUUCAUUCUUGAUUUGGCUCUUUUUAAGUCUGUUAUUGGUGUAUAGGAAUGCUUGUGAUUUUUGCACAUUGAUUUUGUAUCCUGAGACUUUUCUGAAGUUGCCUAUCAGUUUCAGGAGAUUUUGGGCUGAGAUACAAUCAUGUUGUCUGUAAAUAGAGAAAAUUUGACUUCCUCCUUUCCUAAUUGAAUACCCUUAAUUUCUUUUUCUUGCCUGAUUGGUCUGCUAGAACUUCCAAUACUAUAUUGAAUAGGAUAUUUUUAAAGUUAGGGAAAAUAAUGCUGAAACCAACUUUCAUACCUAAAGAGAUUUAAAACAAAGGGCACAAGGGUUGUAGUCAGACAUGACUCAAAUUCUGAUUUUGUCAUUCAGUAGUUAUUUAAUCUCUUCUUGCCUUUAUUUGCUGAUUUGUGGAGUGUGGUAAGAACACCAUCUUAAGUGUUGUAUAUGGAUUUCAUAAGAUGAUAUAUUUCAAAUGUUAGGUAACUGGACUGGGAACUCUUUCAAUGUAUUUUUUUUGUUUGAGAUGGCGUCUCACUCUGUCACCCAGGCUGGAGUCGUGCAGUGGCACAAUCUUGGCUUACUGCAACCUCUGCCUCCCAGGUUCAAGCAAUUCUCCUGCCUCAACCUCCUGAAUUGCUGGGACUACAGGCAUGCACCACCAUGCCUGGCUAAUUUUUUUUUGUAUUUUUAGUAGAGACAGGGUUUUACCAUGUUGGUCAGGCUUCGUCUCAAACUUCUGACGUCAGAUGAUCCAACCUCCUCGGCCUCCUCAAGUGCUGAAAUUGCAGGCAUGAGCCACCAGGCCCCACCUAAAGGUACUUUUAAAAAGCCUAUUUGCGGCCUGGUGCAGUGGCUCAUGCCUGUAAUCCCAGAACUUUGGGAGAUGGAGGCGGGUGGAUCAUGAGGUCAGGAGUUCGAGACCAGUCUAGCCAACAUAGUGAAACCCAGUCAGGGCCAAUAAUAGCAUGCACCUCAUAAAACAGAUGUUAGAAUUAAAUGAGUUUCAUGUAUGUAAAGUGCUUAGAAUAGUGUGUGGCACAUGGUAAGUGCCAUUUAAAUACUUGACAUUUUCUUGGUAGUUUUAUACUGUGUCAACUUAGCUAGGCUGAAUGAAGGUGGGUCCCAGAGUUCCCUUCCCUACAUGAUCCCAGGUUUGUAUUGGCCACAAGGGACAUAUUACCCAGGAUUUGGAUGGUAGAGUUGGGGCAUCAGGUGUGCUUUCCUUUUCUUUCUGAAGAUGGGUACAAGGGACCAGGGCUGUGACCGCUUGUACAAGUUGUCUCUGUCCUGUGAGCUCUCUUUGUUUGUGCUGGGCAUACCUGCAGCCCCUUCAGCUCCUGCUGGAUCUCCAGGUGUGAGGGCAGCUCUAUGUUGACCUCCUGCAAGUCACCCACGACAUCAGGUAGGACAGAGUUAGAGGCAGAUGUGGGUUCCUCCCAAUACUGUCUUCUCAGAACGGCUUUUUUUUGUCCUAUAUAAUAUUGCACUCUCGCUUUCUGUUUUUUUACCCCACUUAAUUUUUCUCCAUAGUACUCAUUACUUCCAGACAUUGGAUUUAUUAUUUUUUUUUUGUAUUGAGAGUAGAAACUUUAUGUUGCUUGUUCAAGGAUAUCUGUCUCUGGCCAUUAUGUUGUUUGGUACAUGGUAGUUGCCCAAUACAUAUUCCUUAAAUGAAUGGGCGAAAUGAAAUUAUAGGUCAUGGAGUUGUUCCAUGGGUGUUGAGGCAGAGUAAAGGCACUGGAGAGCUCACGUGACAUUUCCACGUGAACAUGGCAGCCUGAUGGAUUACCCACCUCCCCUGCUGGUCUUUGAACUAUAUUGGGGAACCAAGAACUUUGCCAGCCUAGUGCUAACCUAGUUAAUGGAAACCCAGGAGAGGUAGAUAGAGACCCAUAGUGCUAUACACAGCAAAUAGAGACUUUUCUUUUGUCUUCAGCUUGUAUUAGAAUUUGACUUCUGAAAAAAUAUUUAUUGCAUCAGGUUAAUACGUAAUCUACUUCAUGCUUGGUUCUGAGGUGGGCAUAAGGAAACUGUUCAUUAAAUACAUCUUUAAUAGCACUGUACUAUGGGUAAAGCAUUGUACUACGUGCUGGGAUGUAUAGCAACGUACACAACAGAUCAAAACCCUCAAUCUCAUGGAACUUACACUCUAGAGGGGAGGUCAGAUAGUAAGGUAAAUACAUCAAAUUUAUUUUGUAUGAAUGAAGUAUGUCAGUGUUAAGUGCUUAGGAGACAAAGAAGGGAGAGAAGGAGAAGUCUUGUUUCAUUUUGCUUUUUAACAGUUUUAAAUAAGGUCAGGCCAAGGUCAUGUUUUAUUAAAUAAUGAAGGAGAUGAAGGAGCAAGCCAUAGAGAUACUUGGAGAAAGAACAGUUCAAGCAGAGAAAACAGCAAAUGCACUGACCCUGAGGCAGGAAUGGGCUGGGCGUGUUGAAGACCCGAUGUAGGUGGUAGCAACUCCCUACCAGUUCUAGUCCUGUGGGGCUUCACUGUCCUUGUCAAGUACCCAGAACUCUGCCUAAGCCUUUGUAACUACUCCCACCAAUAAACCCUUCUCAAUUACCCUUUUUGAAGGUGCCACCUAUUUCCUGCAGGGACCUGAUGGAUGUGAGUGAGCUCCAUCCUGCUUGGGAGUGUCAUAUAGUUUGUAUAAAGAAAUGCUGAAGAAGCUCAGAGCAGGAGAAAAUCAUUGCAAGAGGAAACGUGAAUCUUUGUUUUGACCUUGAAGAAAAUAGAAAUGAACCAAGUUAGUUCUAUGAUUGGGCCUCUGAUUAAUGGUAAUUCUUCCACCUAUGGCUUUAGCCAGAAUUUUUUUUUUUUUUUUUGAGACAGAGUCUCUCUUUGUCACUCAGACUGGAGUACAGUGGUGUGAUCUCACUGCAGCCUUCGCCUCCUGGGUUCAAGUGAUUCUCCUGCCUCAGCCUCCUGAAUAGCUGGGAUUAUAGACAUGUGCCAUGACUUCCAGUUAAUUUUUUUUGUGUAUAUAUGGAUAUGUGUAUGUGUGUGUGUAUGUAUAUAUAUAUAUAUAUAUAUUUUUUUUUUUUUUUAGUAGAGAUGGGGGUUUACCAUGUUGGCCAGGCUGUUUUCAAACUCCUAACCUCAGGUGAUCUGCCCACUUUGACCUCUCAAAGUGCUGGGAUUACAGGUGUGAGCCACUGUGCCAGGCCAGGCUGAAAAUUUCUCCAGGUGUUAUCAUGGAUUCUUCCUUCUUUCUCCCUCACCACCACAACAUCUAAUUAACCACUAAAUCAAAUUGGAGUGUACAAAUUGGACUAUAUUGCUGCUACCCUUAAAACUAUUCCCUAGCUCUCCCUGGUCUACAGGAGAGAGUUCCACACUCCUCGACAGGCAUUUCCGGCCUCAUCACCCACCAUCCUUCCUUUUGUGUGUUACGUCCAAGUGAUACGGAGUAGUUCAGAGCGCCCGUAUGGUCACGUUUCCAGGUGUUUGUGUAAGUUUCACCAGAUAGCAACAGUGCCGCUCCUCUGCUUUUGUUAGUUAACUCCUCCCUAUCCCUUCUGACCUAGCUCAAGUGUCACUUCCUUAGGAAGCCCAGCUUUCCACAAGUGUUGGCUGAGCCAAUCUUUGCAGGCUGUGAGCUACGUGUUUUAUGUAUAAAACAUACAAAGUCCUUGUCCUCAUGGAGCUUAUGUCUAGUAGUAGGUGCUAAUGUUAAAUGUUUGGAAGGACAGACACUAGAUAUGAAAGCACCCAAACAAAUAUAUAGCAAAAAUCGUGGGAGGUGCCUUGAAGGAAAAAACCAGAGAACAACAAAAAUAGCUAAAGGGUAGGGAUAGGGGAUGGGGGUGGGAAAGGGGCAUACUGUAAGGAGAAGGCUGACGAGGUGACAAAUAGAUACCCGAGGAGUGAGAAUAGCUAGUCAGGUAAAUAGGUGAUGCGAUGGGGAGUCGCAGAGAGGAUUGUGGUGGGAGAGUGUUUUGGACAGAGGGAACUAAGGGACUGAGCACACAGGAAGGGUCUGAGCAGGGAAGAAUCACUGGUGCACUGUAGGACCAGAAUGCAGGUUAGUGGAGCUGAAAUUGUUGGGCUGUGGACAGAGUGAUAGGAGGUGGAGCUGCAGAGGACGGAAGGCUAGCUCCUGUGUGACAGCAUAUGCCAUGAUACAAAGUUUGGAUUUUAUUUGAAUGCAGAGAAGUCCCUGAGGCUUUCUGAGCAGAGGAAUAAGUUGAUUUCCUUCAUGUUUUAAAAAGACCACUCUGACUACAAAUUGGAGAAUGUCUUGGAGGGAGGCCAAGGGUAAAAAGAAAUGAUGGUGCCUCAGUCUGCCUUAGGAGUUCCCCGACAUGUUCCUGAAGCACCUGAUGCUUAUUUAAGCAUAGCACUUUUAAUCAUGGUUGCAAUUUUCUCUUUACUUGUCUAUUGCUUCCACCAGUCUGAGAGUUCCUUGAGGGUGGGGAUUGUUCUUUCUCUCUCUCCUUCCCUCCUUUCCUGAUUUCCUUCCUUCCUUUCUUCUUUCUCUCCUCUCUCUCUCUCUCUCUCUUUCUUUCUUUCUUUCUUUCUCACAUUCUGCUGCCCAGCCCACAGUGCAGUGGUGUGAUCUUGGCUCACUGAAACCUUUGCCUCCCAGGUUUAAGCAAUUCUCCUGCCUUAGCCUCCCAUGUAGAUGGGAUUACAGGCUCAGUCUCAGAGCCCCGUUUGAAUCCUCCCUCUAAAGCUAGGAGCUGGCAAGCUCUCAACUCUCAAAAGGAUGUACACCACACUUGGCUAAUUUUUGUAUUUUUAGUGGAGUUGGGGUUUCAUCAUGUUGACCAGGAUGGUCUCGAACUCCUGACCUCAAGUGAUCCACCCACCUUGGCCUCCCAAAGUGGGGAUUGUGUCUUUUAUCUUCAUUUCAUAUAAUAGGUGUUUAGUAAGUAUACUUUUCGUUGUUGUUGAGACAGUCUCGCUCUGUCACCAGGCUGGAGUGCAGCGGGGUAAUCUCAGCUCACUGCAACCUCAGACUCCCCGGUUCAAGUUAUUCUCUUGCCUAAGUCUCCUGAGUAGCUGGGAUUACAGGCAUGCACCACCAUGCCCAGCUAGUUUUUAUAUUUUUAGUAAAGAUGGGGUUUCAUCAUGUUGGCCUGAAUGGUCUUGAUCUCCUGACCUUGUGAUCCACCCACCUCGGCAUCCCAAAGUGCUGGGAUUACAAGUGUGAGCCAUCGUGCUGGGCCAAAUGUACUUUUUAAAGAAUAAAAAACGGGCCUUGAAGUAAAUAUCAGAUCCAACUUUUUUUUCUCUAAUUCUCUAGAUAUCUCAUCUGGCAAAUAAAAAGUUCGCAUUAAGUAGACUAUAAAACCUUUGUUUUUGAAACAGAAUCUUGUUCUGUCUCCCAGACUAGAGUGUAGUGGUGUGAUCUCAGCUUACUGCAAUCUCUGCCUCCCAGGUUCAAGUGAUUCUCGUGCCUCAGCUUCCUGAGUAGCUGGGAUUAUAGGUGCUGGCCACCAUGCCUGGCUAAUUUUUUUUUUUUUUUGUAUUUUUAGUAGACAUGGGGUUUCACCAUGUUGGUCAGGCUGGUCUCAAACUCCUGACCUCAGGUAAUCCACCUGCCUUGGCUUCUCAAAGUGCUGAGAUUACAGGCGUGAGCCACCAUGCCCGGCCUAGACUAUAAAAUUCUGUAAGCCAUGUUUGUUGAAGUAGAAAGAACAUUUUAGAGGUCUAAGUAGACCUCUUUCUUGCUGGAGGUGUGUGGACGGUAGACAAAGGGAGAAUUGCUUGACUGGAGUUAGUUGGUUCAAUUGCAAUUUUUAUUUAUUUAUUAAAAAAAAAUUGUGGCCGGGCGCAGUGGCUCACGCCUGUAAUCCCAGCACUUUGGGAGGCUAAGGCAGGUGGAUCACGAGGUCAAGAGAUUGAGACCAUCCUGGCCAAAAUGGUGAAACCCGUCUUUACUUAAAAAAUACAAAAAUUAACUGGGCGUGGUGGCACGCGCCUGUAGUCCCAGCUAAUCGAGAGGCUGAAGCAGGAGAAUUGCUUGAACCCGGGAGGUGGAGGCUGCAGUGAGCUGAGAUCACGCCACUGCACUCCAGCCUGGCACCUGGCAACAGUGAGACUGUCUCAAAAAAAAAAAAUUUGUUUGAGAUAGGGUCUCAUUCUUUCACCCAGGCUGGAGUAUGGAAGUGCGACGUGAUCAUGGCUCACUGGAGCCUCGACUUUCCUGGAUCCUCCCACUUCAGCCUCCCAAGUAGCUGGGACUAUAGGUGUGCGCCACCAUGCCUGGCUAAUUUUUAAAUUUUUAAUUUGUAAAGUUGGGGUUUUUGCCAUGUUUCCCACACUGGUCUUAAGCUUUGGAGACCAAGUGAUCCUCCCAUCUUGGCCUCCCAAAGUGUUGAGGUUACAGGCAUGAACCACCAUGCCUGGUCCACAAUUUUUCAUUAGUGGAGUUUUUUUUUUUUUCCUAAGUCAUGAAAAAAAGUUCUAUAUUUAGAGAGAAGUUAGCUAAACCUGCCACAUUCAUCAAUAUAAAAACAAAGCAAAUACCUUUUGGGCAGCACCGUUCUUAGAGCCCCAUUUGAAUCCUACCCCUAAAGCUAGGAGCUGGCAAGCUCUAAACUCUCAAAAGGAUAUACAAUGAGAAUUUAGACACCAGGCACCCAUUUCUGCACAGUACCACAAUAAGAUACAAAAUACAACACAUUGAGUGAAUGAAUUAAAGAUACAUAUGAUAAAAUAGAUUUGGUGUUUUAUAAAAUCAUUUUGGAGGCAGGAAAACUCAUUAGAUUGUGAAGAUGAAUCAGAGUCAGAACAGGUGCCACCGGCAGAGCAUCACUCACGGCACAGUAAUUCCACCACUGUUGUGGGGCUCUGUGGGGAGGGUGGAUUGAUGAUGAUCCCUUCUUUAUUGAGAUUUUGAGCUCACAUCUCAUUUACGUUUACGCCUGCCAGAUGGCAGAGCCUUUAUUUGUCACUGUAUUUCUUAGACAUUUCUUGAUCUCUGCAGCUUGAGUGCAUGGAUGCUGAAGUGGUACCGUAAGCAUGCACAGGAAAUGCAUCGCUAAACACUGAUAGAAAAAAGACAGUGCUGAGGGCGGGAGCUUAUUCUGCAGGAUAACAGGGAUGAAGCUAAGAAAAGUUCAAUAUCAGAAAUGGUAUGCUGGCCAUUCAGCUUUAAGAAUAACUUCCCAAGGGCAGCUGUGAAAAUCCCACUACGUGAGGCAUGUGAGAACAGAUUGAAUGAUGUACUGGAGAUUAUCCUGUAGGGGGGUCCAGUGUACUCUGAUCCAGGGAGUGAACUAAAAUAGCCACAAAAACCACAAAAUGGUCUUGUGGUUUUGAUUCUGGGAGUCCAGUCAGGUCUUGCUUUAUUGAAUCCUUUGCUACAGCCACUGUGAAUUUCCCCAAGCUGAACUGAAGAAUUGUACUUUAGAUUAUGGGCCUUGGUGGGCCUGCAGGCCGGUGGCCUGGCCAGCUAAGGGGCUAAUCAGGUAUAGAAUCUGUCUUACAGAAUUCCACAGGUUUAUGGUGCAGUCUGCCCCCUCCUCUUCCCUCCCCCUCCUCCUUUUCUCUCUCCCAUCCUCAGGAAGAGAAUGAGUCACCUUGGUCUUCCCAUUGCAGUGCCUACUCUCUGCUGCUCCCUGCGCUGUGGUUUGGCAUUUGAAGGAGAAUAUGGCAUUAAGACCAUCAGGCAACACGAGACAUGGAAAUACUGAGGGCUGCCGACCGUUGCACAAGUGGACAGGCCCCGAGAAGCCUGUUGAGUUGCUAUGGAAAGCCCCUCCCUGCUCCUGCUCUGGGAUGCCCAGGGAUGUACUGGGGGUUCUGGGUCUUCUCUGUUUUAUCGCUAUUGUUAAGGAUUGAUGCUGUAGCGGGGAGGGAGGUUUCAAUUCCCUAAGGACAGACCAAACCUGUCUUUCAAGUUCACUGGAGACUCCAGAGUGAGCUGUUAAAGGCCUGUGCGCAUUCUUCUUUCUUGUCCUAAUUAAUGGCAAUUGGGCUAAAAAUAUACUUGGGGACAGUCUCUGAAGCUGCAGCUGGGACAAGUUGUUGAUGUAGUUACAGAACUGGGUCUGAGACAAGCACAGAGGCCUGGGCAAGUCGAGAGGCUGAGGGGAACUUGUAAGUGAAUUCUUGGGGAGUUUUCUCCUCAUUACGUCAGUGUAUUUCACACUUUCUCAGGUGAUUGGGAUGUGCUGUAAGUUUCCCACUAGUGGACUCUGGCCAUUUAUGGUUAUCACAUUUAAAGUUUCAGCCACUUGAACUGAAAGUCUGUUCUAGAAGGUAAAACGCAUGACUUCGCCAAGGCAUGAAUCUGAAUCACAACAUUGCUGAGUAGUUGUGCCUGAGUGUCUGUUACCUGGUGACCAGACCAGCUGGUGCCUAGCCUCUACAUCUUACGGCAGCCCUUUUCAUUCUUUCUUCUUUAUUCUGUGUGAGAAGUUAGGAGACAUAUCCUUGGUGAAUGCCAUGAUCCUUAAUUGCCUCAUGACUAUGAGCCCAGCCCAGCCUUCCUAAACAUGCCCCAUCAUAAAGAAGACCCAAGGAGCAGUCAGAACAGCACACAAACUUGUUCAGCCACAUUUACUCCUCUUUUAUUAUGAGCCAGGCCCUAUGCUGGGUGUCAUAAGAAACACACAAGUUAGUACAAUCUGAUUCUUGCCCUCAAAGAAAAGGCAACCAGUAGAAAGCUGGGAGGGAAAAACAAGGAUGAAAAAGACCAUGCUAUAGGCCAAUGCCAGGUAACAACCCUGGGGAUGAUUUUCCGCACUAAUAACCAAUUCUCUGGAUACCAGCUAAGAGUUCAGCAACUCAAUUCUGUCCCAUGGAGUUAGAACGCACCAUCCUUCUGGCACAUGGAUGCGUUUACCAAUCCAGAAGUUCUCUGAACCUUGGAGGUUCCGCUCUACAGGCGUGACUGAUCAAAUCACCGGUCAAUGGUGAUUAAGUCAAUCUCCAACGCUUUUUCUUUUCCUGAGGUUGGGGAGUAGGGCUGAAAGCUUUAAGGCUUGGUCUUUCUGGCAACCAACCCACAUCCCAAAGGUAUCCGGGGUGCCCAGCUACCAGUCAUCUCAUUAGCACAUAGAAGACACUCAUCACUCUGGAGACUCCAAAGGUUGUAGGAGCUGUAUACCAAGAACCAGGAGUAAAGAACAAAUACAUUAUUUUUUUUAUUAUACUCCAACUAUCAUAAGGAAGUUACAAUGAAAGUGUUACGUGGUUUCAAAGGGAAGAAAGAUCGCAUCCAUUUUUAAAGUCCUCAUACUGCAAUAUCUUCUGAUGGUAAAAAACGUGGACUCUGCCAACCCUAGGUUUGACUUGUGGGCAAAUCUCAUAGUCACUCUUCUGCCUCUUUAUUGGUAUCCUCAGUCCAUGAAAUGGAGCAAAGUCAGUUUCCCUGGACAGAGUGUGAAGCACCUCAGAACUCUUACAGGACUGGGGCUCCUUGCCGUAGAGUGUUAAUUUAUUUGCCUGUCUGUUCAGUCCUCUACAGAGCUUAGCUACAGUGCCAUUUUUUGUUAUUGUUUCCGGAAACCACAAAAGAUGAGGAGAUUGCGGCAUGAACCCCGAAGUCCCAUUGUCUGCCAGCCUGUGAGAGAUGAAAAGUGCCACCAGUGUAUCCAGAAAGUCAUUUCUCAGUAGCCAUAGGUGACAAGAGUUACAUUUCUUUACCAGGACACCUUGAUGUGGCACAUCAUAAAUAUUCAGAUUCUGUACACUUUUAAAAAAGAUAUAAUAUCUCCUUUCUUGUAUAACAGUCACUUCAAGGUCAGAUUCAGGGUGGCUCAAAACCAGGAAGUAGGAAUUCUUAUACUUGAGAGAAAGGGGCAGUUGGGGAGUGGGCUGAGGAAGCAGAAACUGAGAAGUGAAGCCAGGCUUGACUUCAGCAAUCAAUGGGUGAGGUGUGGUGUCCCUUGACCCAGGCUGGUGGGGCCUCUCCUCUGGGCCCGUGCUUUCCAGAGCCUGGCUCUGGCACUCCUCCGGCUGUGCCUUCCCCAUGGGAUGAGAAGUUCAGGAGACCAGGAGUGUGCCCACCUGGAGCCCAUGCCCCCACUACUUCUAGACCAAGCUCGUCCAACCUGUGGGCCGUAGACUGCAGGCUGCAUGCGGCCCAGGAUGACUUUGAGUGGGGUCCGACACAAAUUCAUAAACUUUCUAAAAACGUGAGAUUUAUUUGGUGUUUUUUUUUUUUUUUUUCUCAUCAGCUAUCAUUAGUGUUAGUGUAUUUUACAUGUAGCUCAAGACAGUUCUUUUUCCCUUCCAAUGUGGCCCAGGAAAACUAAAAGAUUGGACAUCCCUGUCCUAGACCAUGCUUCAGUGUCAAGGACAUUGGGAUUCCCUGCCCAAACACUAAGGGGUGCCCUUUUGAGGGCUAAUAGUGCCAUCUGUGUGCCUAGAGGGUGGCUGAUAGGUGGCUGCUUGGCAGGGACCAUAGUUGCAGGGAGACAGAGAUGUACACAUUCAUAUGGAAGAGGUCUUUAUGGUCUGAGCAGAACUAGAAGAGGCAUGAGAGAAAGAGGUGGGUUGUGGGCCAGGGGCCUCUGUUUUUAUUAUUGCCCCAGGCCUGUAAAUGUCAGGGGUAGCCCUGAAUGGGAGUCCAGGCUUAGAAAUUUUCAAGCAAAAACACCGGAUUUGCAAAUAGUUCCUAGUAAGGUAGAGCUGGAGUGCCCUUUUGCUAAAUUCAGCCCCAAUUGCUUUUACUUCUAUGUGUCAGUCACUUAAUAGUUCACAGCAAGUGAUAGCACUUGUCCUCCCAGUUCAUAGCUACAGUCCUCGAGAUGCUGGGAUAACAAAAAAAAAAAAAAAAAAAAAAAAAAAAAAAAAAGAGAGAGAAAGUCUGUCUGGCAUAGAAUUCCGAGUUCUAGCCUGACUCAGAGAGGCAACCUUUCGCUGAGGCUUUGGAAUCAGAGUUCUGUCCUGAGACUUGGGCGAGGGCUCCUCGCACGGUCUUGCACGUCAGGGCUCUACUCUCUGGAACGAUUUCUUGAACUUUUCUGUUAAAUUUCUUCCCUUUAAUGCCGGGGACAGGCAGGAGUUAGCAGAACCAAUGAGGUGAGAUAUCUUGGCCCUGUACCAGGGCCCAUGCUGUUGCUGGUGCCCGUUUCUCCCUUUUAGGGCAUUCUCCCAUUCUUUACCAUUGGAUCUGGGGUCGACCAGAUGGCCCAGAACCUCUGAGCCUCGUGCCAAUUAUGUUGUCUUGGGACUAGAACUGGGACUCCAGUUCCGGGAGGGCAGCCUGGAGAGCAGAUAGUUCCUGCUGGCCGGGUAGCAUUUCUUUUGUAGGAUCACACAAAAUCAGGCUACCAGAUGGUGCACAUAUGCUGAUUUGGUGACUCAAAUUGUUUAUAUAGAUCGGGGCUUUGCAAAAAACAAUUUGCAUGGGCCCCACCCAACGUAGGAGCAGCCUUGGUCAAGUGCUUGUACAAAUGGCAAUUGCUUCCCCAGUGAUUCUUUCUAAAUCUGGUAUCUCCCAAACCAUAUAACAAGGACUCAGAUUCUAUAAAGAGCAGGAACCACGAGGCAGAAGGGGAAGUCCUGGGUGUUUAAUUCCUCUGCCUUCGACGUAGAUGGCACAGUCGGGACUUCCCAACUGAGCGGAGCCUUGCUUUCCGUUUCCACAUGCGACAGUGGCCUGUCUGAACCCCACGGGCAGGAAAAUGGAGGAUGCCUCACCAGUACUGAGGGUAAUUGGCAGUGGCUUUAAGGAAGAUAAAUGUCUAAUUUGUGGCAGAGUCUAGGUGAAGGAGAAAAGGGGUGACUUUCAUAAUUCUGUCAGUAAAACCAAGUACCCAGCACAUUCUGUAGGUCCAAAAUAACCCCCUCUCCACCCAAAUUCUCUGUUGUGUUUGCCCUAAGAAGGGGCUUGUGGAAGACGGAAGACGAGCACACGACUGCAGGGCAGCACACAGCUGCUGCUAAUAACAUGGAGUGUUGCCGCUCACAUUUGCUGGGCAUAUUACAGCCAUUGUCUGGUUUAAUACAACGAGGACAUUUGAGGUGAGUACUGUUAUCAUCUCCAGCUCACAGAUGGGAAUAGAGAUCAGAGUGGCGAAAUAAUUUGCUCAAGAUCACGUAGCUGGCUGGGCGCGGUGGCUCAUAGCCAUAAUCCCAGCAAUUUGGCAGGCCGAGGCAGGCAGAUCACGAGGUCAAGAAAUUGAGACCAUCCUUGCCAACAUAGUGAAACCCCAUCUCUACCAAAAAUACAAAAAUUAGUUGGGCCUGGUGGCACAUGCCUGUAGUCCCAGCUACUUGGGAGGCUGAGGCAGCCCAAUUGCUUGAACCUGGGAGGUGGAGGUUGUAGUGAGCUGGGAUUUCACCACUGCACUUCAGCCUGGGUGACAGAGUGAGACUCCAUCUCAAAAAAAUAUAUAUAUAUUACGUACCUAGUAAGUUGUGAAGUCGGGAUUUGAACCCAUAUUUAUCUGCUGGAGGUCUGUUUGUGACCUGAGGGCCAAACUUCUUUUGUGGGGUGAGGAUAAUCUAUCCUGCAAGGAAAAAUCUGGGGCCUUGCAGACCUCACUGGGGCUCAGGAGAGAGCUCUUGGAUGGGCUCUGUUAGCUGAUUUUAAAGAGCCUGAAGUACUUUCAGUGACUGAUUUCUCUUCCUGCGAUCAGCAGCUUCAGAGCAUAGCACACUUAGCUCUUAAAAGGUUACAAAAAGCGGGUGUGAGGUAUUGACAUUAAGAAAAAAAAGAUCGUAUUGUGGUUCUUUUCACCCAAGCACUUCAAAACUCUUCAAAAACACCUCAUGGAAUAUCCUGCUAUCACACUUUACAGAGUAACAACUGAGCACACUCAUUCAGAAAAUCAAUGGCAGAGAAAGUUGAUUUGAAGAAAUGGAACCGGACUCAAGACCCCUCUCGCAGAUAGCCAGUGAUUCUACAGGACAACAUCCUCCACAUUUCUAGGUCUUCAUUUACUCAAGCCCUCAGAAGGAUUCUAUAAACGUGUGGCCAUGUAGACUGAAGUAUAACUACGUUUAAGACGGGAAAAUCACACGGAAAAAUGGACACGGCAUUCGGAGACCAAACAGACACUUUGGAUCCAUUCUGAUUCUUGUGAACUCAGCAAACAUUCUUAAACUGUGCUGAAUAUGACAAAGCCUCUACUUCAAGGAACAUAGGGUUAGCAAAGUAUGGAUGAAACAAGCACAUUCCAUCUAUGACAGAACAUAAAUUAUGAAAAACAUAGGUGUGAGCCACUGGGGUGGUGAGACCUGCGAGCAUUUCCCAAUUUCCCUUGCAAGUAGAUUGGGAACAUGUGACCAGCUUUGGCCAAUCAAUGAACUAUGAAUGGAAGACAUAGGAGUCACUUUUAGGUGGAGGCAGUUGUCCUUUCAUCUGUUCUCUUCCCCUGCCACAGUGACAAGAUAGAGGACAACGUUGUUCUCUGAAGUCCAAAUUGGGCUUUGGUAAGCGAAAUAAACUUUCACACUACAGAACUCCUAAGAAGGCUGUGUGCAGUGGCUCAUGUCUGUAAUCCCAGCACUUUGGGAGGCCAAGAUAGGUGGAUCACCUGGGGUCAGGAGAAACCCUGUCUCUACUAAACCUUGUCUCUACUAAAAAUACAAUAAUUAUCUGGGUAGUGGGGACCUGUAUUCCCAGCUACUCAGGAGGCUGAGGCAGGAGAAUCACUUGAACCCGGGAAGUGGAGGUUGCAGUGAGCUGAGAUCGCACCAUUGCACUCCAGCCUGGGAGACAAGAGCAAAACUCAAUCUGAAAACAAAAAACAAAAAAAACUCCUAAGAAAUCUAGGCCUGUUUAAUAUUACAACAUUGGUUAGCCAAACCAAUACAGAUAGGUAGGAUUACAUAAUGAGGAGUGAGGCCAAAAUCGAGAGAAAUGUAAUUAAGAAGACAAGAAUUUUGAUGAACCCAGGAGCACUGAGCUCAGAAAAGAGUAGUGCUUAAGCAGCUCAUAGAAAGCAGGGGUGAGUUUUCACUGAGGUUGAAUUAUCUUCUACUUACUGAGAUAUUGUUUGGAAACACGGCAUGCACAUUUAUUACUGAUGGAAAACAGAAUCAAUACUCUGGCUGAAUAAUGCAUUAAGCAGUCUGAGUGGGUCCCUGAGUCAUGGGCACCCUAACAGAUCAGUGUGGCUUAGAGGUCGUGUCCUCUGGGUUCUGUAUCUCCAACCUAUUAAGAAUAAUAUUACUAUUAGUGCAUUAAUUUAGACAUUUGGAGAGACAGGAGAAGUGGGAGUAGAAUUUUGGUCCUUGAAGAACUUGUGGGCAGGGAAGGAAAAUUGCAAGCACUGUAUAGAGUGAGGAAAAAAGGCAAGUGAGGAGUGAUCAUUAUGGGCAGUGGCAGGUCAGAGGAGACUUUCUGGGACCUGAGAGCUGGGUCCUAGAGGGAGCAAGAGUUAUAGACUGGUAAAGAGGAGGUAGACAGGUCAUCCCACUGAAGUGAGCAAAGGACUGAGUGCUCACAUCUGAGUUGCUGAUGAACAGAACUCAUGAAGAGUUUGUGCGAAUGCAAUCCCAAAUGUUCUGAUCAAAGGGAAAGGAGUGGAUCUAAGGGAGGGAAGAGAGGCAAAUUCUCCUAACAUUUUCCUUUUAUUAGUCGUUCCUUGUUGACCUGGAGCUCUUAUGAAACAUGGCCUGUGGUUGGCCAUGGCCGUGCUGCACCUUGAAGAGUGGUCAUCCUGCCCUUUAGAUUUAAGUCUUUUUCUUUCUCCCCAUUGGUUAUACAUCAGGUUGUUAUUGUUGGUGACAAUCACAAAAUUAGUCCAUUAGGCCAACUGCACAUCUGAACCAAGCCAAAAAGGCGGCCUUACCAACACAUUGGGUUGCUGCCUGGUGCUGUGACCCCAUGAGCAUUAGUUUCUUCAUACGUAAAGUUAGAAUUAAAUUAAAUAUGAUUUUUUUUGAGAUGGAGUCUUGCUCUGUUGCCCAGGCUGGAGUGCAAUGGUGCAGUCUUGGCUCAUUGUGACCUCUGCCUCCCAGGUUCAAGCAAUUCUCCUGCCUCAGCCUUCCAAGGAGCUGGUACUACAAGUGCACGCCACCACACCUGGCUUAUUUUUUGUUUUUUAGUAGAGAUGGGGUUUCACUGUGUUGUCCAGCCUGGUUUCAAACUCCUGAGCUCAGGCAAUCCACCUGCCUCAGCCUCCCAAAGUGGUGGGAUUAUAGGCGCGAGCCACCGCUCCCAGCCCUAAAUGAGAUAAUUUUUAUACAACAAUUAGUUUGUAAUUGGCCUUUGGUAGAUUCCUAAUCAUCAGUAACAUUAUUGUCACCAAUCUAUGUUUUUUAUCACUAAAUCAGAAUGCAUUUGUGAUUAUAUAAAAAGCUCUUUUGGUGGGUGAUAAAAAAUGAAAACUGACUUUGUUUUAAGCUAUUUCAGGCCAUGUUUAUUUGUCCUGUUGGAAAUCCAAAGUUCCAAAUGGUUGAGGACGAAGUCAUUGCUAAUAUUAAUGUUGCUUUUUAACAAUUCACUUUCUUUUUUUCCCUUGCUUUCUUCUGUCAUCAGAAUAAAGGAGUUAUCCAUAUGUUUCACGAAUGAUCAAUGAAUAUACAAAUUUAUGAUUAAUAAUUUUUUGGAAAUUGCAGAUUUUCAAAAGUGGGCAAAACACUUCAAUACAUCAAUUAUUAUUUUGAAAAUUCUUGGAAAUCUUCAUCUUCCUGUCUUAGUGCCUUCAGAAUGGAAAACUGUUCAGUUCUUUCACCUCUUGGGGAAAGCUGCAAUUAUUAUGCCUGAUUCUCUUGUUUUUAAAAUUUUAGUUUAAUAGAAAAAUGUUUAAUUAAAAAAAGAUCAAAUGUCAUUUGAACAAGUGAACAGUAUAGAAUGAGUUUUCAGAAAGUUAAACUGUAAGUUGUAACAAAUGGCUAUAUAAAAUCCCUUGUGUUUCAGGGAGGAAAACAUCACACGCCAGGGCCUGUCAAGGGGUUGGGGGCAAGCGGAGGGGGAGCAUUAGAACAAAUACCUAUGCAUAUGGGGCUUAAAACCUAGGUGAUGGGUUGAUAGGUGCAGCAAAGCACCAUGGCACACAUAUACCUAUGUAGUAAACCUGUACAUUCUGCACCUGUAUCCCAGAACUUUAUGUAAAAUAAAAAAAUUAAAAAAUAAAUUAAAAAAAGAAGGAAGAACUAUUACAAAAAAAAAAAAAUCCCUUGUGUUUGAAACAGUGAUUGAAGUAGUGUAUUUCAAUAGCUUUACGCAGAUGUUCUAGAACGAACUUUUUUUCUUUACAAAUCAAAGAAAACUUCAGUUGAAAGAGUGGCACCUUUUUGCUUUUUUUUCCCAUCAAAAUGCAUCUGUACAUUAGUGAAGCGCUUUAACGAUCUUCACUGUGCACGAUUACAAAGUGCUCUAUUAUAUGCAAGUACCAUGGAGGUAAAUAGCAGUUUUCAUGACUGUAAAUUUCAAACUUUCUCCCUUUAAAAAACAUAUCAGUGAUUCUACUGCACAUCAAGAUACUUAGAUUAGAGUGAAACCAUUUUCUGAUUCUCAAAAGGUAGUAACGUUUUGUUAUAUUUGUGAUUUGAGCUACUUCAAAACAGCUAGAGCAGCUAAUUAUUCCUCUGAGCCUACGGGAUGGGAGAAUUUUGCAGGGAGAUAAACACAGGUUAUUAUUAUUUUAUUUCUUUUCCCUUGACUACCAGGUAUGAGUGACUGUCAGAGAACACUCAUGAUAUGUCAUCUUCAUUGCCCAUGCACAUCUACAUUUUUGGAAACUCUAGAAGCUUCUGAAAUUUCGAAAUUCAGAGAAGUUUGGCUCUGGGUUUCAAGUAAAUUGGACACCUUACGCCAGUGAUUCUGGGAUUAGAGGCCCAUGUUCUUGGAUGACGAGCAUUUGGGAAUGAAGAAUAUACAAUAAAUACCAUCUGAUCUUUAGCAGAGAGAGUCAGGUCACGAGCUCUUAAUCAGACAGGCAUGGCUUAAAUUUCUACCUCUGAUAUUUUCUUGAGUAAGUUACUUAAGCUUUCUAAACUUUAUUUUUCUCAUCUUUAUAAUGGGGGUAAUGAGACCUCCUUCGCGGGGUCACUGUGAAAUUUAAAUAUACAAACGCAUGCGUAUACAUACACACACAAUUAUUUGGCGAUGUUAGUAUGUUUAGUUCCUGGCAGUGAGCUUAAUAAGUGGCAGUUAUUUUUCUUAUUAAAGCUAAAGAGCUUUGCCCAAACAUCUAUAGCGACCCAAAUAAAUAAGUGUUCUACUCAAAUGAAAUACAAAAAUCCAAACAAAAAAUUGUGAUUGCCUCAGUUAAAGUGAAAUGGAGGAAAACAACACUUCAGUUCCUUUGGGCCAGGUUCCUUCUGUGGGCCUAGUACAGUGUGAGCUGAUUGGUCUUUCCUAUCUGGGCAUUUAGGAAAAAUAUCUGACUCUAGAAGAGUUUUCUUAAAUUUUUUUUUUUUUUUUUUUUGAGAUGGAGUUUCACUCUUGUUACCCAGGCUGGAGUGCAAUGGCGCGAUCUCGGCUCACUGCAACCUCCGCCUCCUGGGUUCAGGCAAUUCUCCUGCCUCAGCCUCCUGAGUAGCUGGGAUUACAGGCACGCGCCACCGCGCCCAGCUAAUUUUUUGUAUUUUUAGUAGAGACGGGGUUUUACCAUGUUGACCAGGAUGGUCUCGAUCCCUUGACCUCGUGAUCCACCCACCUUGGCCUCCCAAAGUGCUGGGAUUACAGGCAUGAGCCACCGCGCCCGGCCCCCUUAAAUUUUUUUUUUUUUAACUUUCCAAACAUCUGCAUAAAAUACUGUUCAUUGGCCAUUGGUAGAAUCUAAUUGCAUUUAGAUUGCUGAAUAAAAACCACGUAGAGGAAAAUGACAUUCUGGGUGAAAGCAUAGGAUCAACUGGAUUGUUUCAAUAAGUUUCAUCUAUUGUCAGAGGAAUGAGUGAAGGGUUCUAGCUGCAGUUGUGAGACUGUAAAAACCAUUUAAAGCACGUCAACAUGUUAGAAUUUAUUUGCAUCGUUCAGAGAAGGGGAAACAAGGAAGAAUUAAAGCUUAUUAUUAUAGUGUGACUUGGCUAUUUUUCUAUUGUUUGAAAAUAACUUUAAGAUGCAGAGAUUUUUUGUUUUUGAGGUCUGUUUUGUUCACCUUUUUCUAAAAGAUGCACCCAUGCUCACUAAGUGGUAGGUGAUGACCAUUUGAAGUGGGAUUUAAAGUCUUAUGUAAAAAAUGAUGUAACCCCACAAUAGUAAAUAACAUUUAAGGAGAUUUUGCAAAGGACUUUAUUGAAACAAAGAGAGACAUGAAUCCAGAAAGUACACUUAAACAAAAUGUAAAAUACAAGACAAGCAGAUCUAGUUUUCAUUCUAUCAAUAUGCACAAAGCCCUGUAGUAAUUACACAGUAAAACAUUUGCCAUUGGCAUGGCCCUAAGGUGUUUGCAUUUGGAUUGGGGAAUUUUGGAUCUUGUCUUAUCAAAUAAACUUUUCUAACAAAAUCUGGUUGACUUGAGCAAAACGUCUGCUAUACAAUGGGAAAACAAGAAUCUCAAACGUUAGAAAGAAUUCAUCUUUGUGGAUUUAAUUGCCAUUGACAGAAAAAGGCCAUUGGACUGGAAAGAUAAUCACUGUUCAGUCAGAAAGCAUUAUGUAGUUUGAAAUUAAGGAAAAAAAUUCUAUUAUGUUAAAACAGCUGGAAAAUGAAAUCUAAUAAAGAAAAUAUUUAAUUUAAGUGAUUUACUUUAUUUCAUUUUAUGUUUUUUGGUCAGUGAACUUUUUCACUGCAAAUGUGACAUGUAUGACUAAAUAUCACAUGUCUGGGACAGGUAGAAGCUGAUACUUAUUGAUAAAUGUCAAUCUUGGGAGAAAAAUAUAACAGAUCUACUGCUUUUAAGUUUAUUGCCUUUCCAUGCCAAUCCAAGUUUUUUUUGACAUGACAUAAGAAGAACUCUAGUCCAUCUUACCUACAGGCUGGGGAAAGUUAUUCUCUGGGAGGGCAUUUUUUUUUCUUUUAUUGCAUUUUAGGUUUUGGGGUACAUGUGAAGAACAUGCAAGAUUGUUGCAUAGGUACACUCAUGGCAGUGUGAUUUGCUGCCUUCCUCCCCUUCACCUAUAUCUGGCAUUUCUCCCCAUGCUAUCUCUCCCCAACUCCCCACCCCCCGCUGUCCCUCCCCUAUUUCCCCCCAAGAGACCCCAGUGUGUAGUGCUCCCCUCCCUGUGUCCAUGUGUUCUCAUUGUUCAACACCCACCUAUGAGUGAGAACAUGCGGUGUUUGAUUUUCUGUUCUUGUGUCAGUUUGCUGAGAAUGAUGGUUUCCAGGUUCUUCCAUGUCCCUACAAAGAACAUGAACUCAUUGUUUUUGAUGGCUGCAUAAUAUUCCAUGGUGUAUAUGUGCCACAUUUUCCCUGUCCAGCCUGUCAUUAAUGGGCAUUUGGGUUGGUUCCAGGUCUUUGCUAUUGUAAACUGUGCUGCAAUGAACAUUUGUGUGCAUGUGUCUUUAUAGUGGAACGAUUUAUAAUCCUUUGGAUAUAUAUUCAGUAAUGGGAUUACUGGGUCAAAUGGAAUUUCUAUGUCUAGGUCCUUGAGGAAUUGCCACACUGUCUUCCAAAAUGGUUGAACUAAUUUGCACUCCCACCAACAGUGUAAAAGUGUUCCUAUUUCUCCACAUCCUCUCCAGCAUCUGUUGUCUCCAGAUUUUUUAAUAAUUGCCAUUCUAACUGGCAUGAGAUGGUAUCUCAAUGUAGUUUUGAUUUGCAUUUCUCUAAUGACCAGUGAUGAUGAGCAUUUUUUCAUAUGUUUAUUGGCCUCACGUAUGUCUUCUUUUGUAAAGUGUCUGUUCAUAUCCUUUGCCCACUUUUGAAUGGGCUUGUUUGUUUUUUUUUCUUGUAAAUCUGUUUUAGUUCUUUGUAAAUUCUGGAUAUCAGCCCUUUGUCAGAUGGGUAAGCUGCAAAAAUUUUUCCCAUUCGGUUGGUUACCAAUUCACUCUAAUGACUGUUUCUUUUGCCGUGCAGAAGCUGUGGAGUUUGAUUAGGUCCCAUUUGUCUAUUUUGGCUUUUGUUGCCAAUGUUUUCGGUGUUUUGGUCAUGAAGUCCUUGCCUACUCCUAUGUCCUGAAUAGUUUUGCCUAGCUUUUCUUCUAGGGUUUUUAUGGUAUUAGGUCUUAUGUUUAAGUCUUUGAUCCAUCUGUAGGUAAUUUUAGUGUAAGGUGUCAGGAAGGGGUCCAGUUUCUGCUUUCUGCAUAUGGCUAGCCAGUUUUCCCAACACCAUUUAUUAAACAGGGAAUCCUUUCCCCAUGGCUUUUUUUUUUCAGGUUUGUCAAAGGUCGGAUGGUUGUAGAUAUGUUGUGUUGCCUUCUGGGAGGGCAUUUUGAUCCAACAGUCCACUCGUUAAGAUAUUCAGAUAAGAUUACACGGGGUGGCACAACUUAUUCCUUCCUGAGUUAGUCUUCAGCCUCCUCCCAAACUGAAGCUGCCAUGGUGGCUUGGUUUUGUGUUUGUGGAGUCUGCUGUUUCUUCUGUUUUCUUUGUUUCUUCUUCCUCCUUCACGAACUUUUCAAAGCCCAGCCCACCAGCCCUGGGCAGACUGUUCCUUUCACCCACAACCCUUAUGCCCAAGGACUGUGGCAAGUAAGAUUUUUCCUGGUGGGUAUAUGAUUUUAAAAUAUUGUGACAUAUUGAUGUAGACAUAGUCCAGAUCUCAGUGAGCUUUUCUUCCUUCCCAAGAGUCUGGGGUUCUGCACUCUAAGACCAGGCUGUAUCUCUUGUAUCCAUAUAUAUAGAUCUAAAUGAAGUCCCUGGGUGAAUAUGAUUUUAGCUAUUGUCUUUCUAUGUUUGUCCUGCUACAAUCAAAUACCAGAGAUUAGGUCAUUCAUAAAGAAUAGGAAUGUAUUUCUCACAGCUCUGAAGACUGUGAAGUUCAAGAUCAAGGUGCCAGCAAAUUUGGAGGCUGGCAAGGGCUGCUCUCUGCUUCUAAGACGGCACCUUGGAAGGGGAAGGGGCAAAAGGGGCAAAAAGAGGCAAAAAGGGGCAAGUGCUUCCUUGCACCUCUUUUAUAUGAUCACUAGUUUCAUUCACAAGAAUUCUAUCCUCGUGACUUAAUUAUCUCCUAAAGGCUCUACCUCUUAGUACUGUCACAUGGCAAUAACGUUUCAACACAUGAAUUUUGGGGGACAUUCAGACCAUAGCAACUAUGAACUCUAUCAUUCUCCAAUUUCUUUUCUCUAGAAAACAUCCAGUCAUCAUAGUUAGGGGCUUUCUUAACUCCUCUGCUUACUCAUUCAUUUGUUCAUCUUGCUUGUAUAGGUGCCGGAUACUUGUGUUUGUCACUGGGAAUACAAGAAUUACUAAGACAUGGUUCCUCCUCUCAAGAAGGAGCUAUUUUUAAACUAUAGCUCAGUAGUGCUAUAGAAUGAAGUUAGAUGUCCUCAGAAUUUCCCUGAGACCAUCUGCCGUAGCCUCAGAUCUGCUCACUACACUUUUGCUUCUUCCCAUCAGCAUCACCCCCGACUCCCCUGUGGGAGCUCCAGUGUGCACUCGCUGUCUCCUAAUUCACAGUGAUGCAGGCAAAUAUCUAGGCUGAGGUAUUUGGAGAGAAGAUAAGAAAUUGUAGGCUGGUCACAGUGGCUCACACCUGUAAUCCCAGCACUUUGGGAGGCCAAGGUGGGUGGAUCACCCUGAGGUCAGGAGUUCGAGACCAGCCUGGCCAACGUGGUGAAACCCUGUCUCUACUAAAAAUACAAAAAUUAGCUGGACCUGGUUGUGGGUGCCUGUAAUCCCAGCUUCUUAGGAGGCUGAGGCAGGAGAGUCACUUGAACCAGGGAGGUGGGGGUGCAGUGAGCUGAGAUUACACCACUGUACUCCAGCCUGAACAACAGAGUGAGAUUUUGUCCCAAAAGAAAUAAAAAAAUAAUAAAAGAAAAGAAAAAGAGAAAAAAAAAAAAAAAAGGAAAAGAAAUUGUAGAAGUCUGUGUCUAAUGGCCUUUAUUUACUCUGUGAAGUAAGAGGCAAAUUCAGUGCUCAGAGGCAGGGCAAAGAUUAAGAAAAGUGGUAAAGUGUAACCCAGGUCACUCUCUCAGCAUCUCCUUUUUCACUAGCUUCAUCGGCCCCUCAAAAAGCCCCACAAGUAUUUCAGGGGUUACCAGAAUGUCUUUCACAUGCCUAGAGACACAUCCACACCCCCUCCCACUUCUGGUGUCAGGGUGUCCAUGAAGCCCUCUAGGUACUCACCACGGGUUUCUGCCAGUGGCCUGAGUGGGUGGCUGCUGCAUGACCGGGUACAAAGGUCACUCCUCUGAUGCUCUGCAGCUCCUCUGGGCCACAGUCCUUCCCAGCAUGUUUUCUGACCUGCAGCCACCUGGCUUCUCUGAGUCUCUGUGCUGGCAUGCUCCAAAGCUGUGUUACCCAGGCCUUGAUGGGCUGCAAUAUGAAGAGAAACUGUUCUUUCAGUUUUUACUCACAGCCUCUUUCUCCCUUGUUUACAGACAAGCAGCAAGGACUGGCUUAGGGAUACAAGGACACAUUUAAAUAAUACCCACCUGCUAUUCUCAGAAUCCCUGAGAAUGCGCCGAUGAUUAAGGCUCUGUUAUUAGCUCAACAUCAUUGUGCCUUACAAGAAAUCUGCUUGAAGGGAUCUGCAGAUUCCCCCAUUCCCCUCACUAUGCAGUCUAAACCCCAGCUAUGGACACAAUUCAAGCCACCAUAUCAGCAGAUUUCAAAAUCCCCUUUCUUAAUAGCUCUAUGAGAUCAUGACAGCAGAAUAGACUUAAGUUAAACUCCAUGCUGGGAAAGUUUUUAGAAUAACUGCUUAGGGGAUGGAAAAUACACUAGACUAGAGAAAGUUAUAAAAUUGCUAACCUCCACUCAUUGCUCCUUGGAGACUGGAGCCCUUCGAUUGGAGUGGUACCAUCCAGCAUCUGUGUGUAAUUUGUCCAGCAGUGUCGAGCAGCCCAGAAAGAAAAGAGACGUUUGAAUUGAAUCAGGGAUGAGGGUGAGCAGGGCUGGUAAGGCAUAGUAAUACAGAGUGUGAGAGACGAUUGAGAAAGUUUCUAACGUUGUUGUUGGAAUGAUUGAUUUUGAAGCUCAGCUGGGUGGUGCAGAGAAGGAAGAGGAGGCUGGGAGAGUUGAGAGAGUCAUUUGUUUAGUAAGUAUUUAUUGAUCACUGACAGACAAUGUGCUGGGCAGGUACAGGUAUAGGUUGUGGGAAAACUGUCCUUGAGAAGUUUGCAGGCAGGUUGGAGGGGUAGGUAAUCAUAGUAUAGAGCGCUAACUGCUACAAUAGUCUCGGGAGUUGUAGAAGUAGACAAGAGAAGCAUCUGACUUUUCCAACUGCUGGAGGAAAUGCAUCUUGGAAAAGCAUCUGAGUUUUUCAAGACCGCUGGAAACAAGCACCUGAUUUUUCUAAGACAGCACCUACAUGAGGACCUGGGAGGCAGGAAGGAGUUAGCCCAGGGGAAGGGGAAAGAAGGUGUGCUCAGGCAGAGAUACCAGCUUGGGUGAAAUCUUGGAGGUCAGCACAGGGUGACUGGAGUGUAGUGGACUGAGGAGGAGCAGGGAGGGAGGGCUGGCCAGAUUGGCAAGGGCUAUGUCAGGAAGGGCCAUGGGGUAUUGUAGGAUACUUUCACAGCUCUCUACACAGCUCAGUUCCUGGUGGCCACCACGAAACUGCCUCACCAUCAAGGGUAGAGUCCAGAAUUCAAGUUCAUGUCAUGUUGAUUGUGCUUUGCUAGUCACAGCUGAUCAGACCUAAGGAUCAUGGUCCAGAAUAUUCACAUAGGGGAAGAGAAAUCUAUUUGCAGAAAGACAGAAUUGAAUCAGCAUGUGCAGAGAGAAGGGGAGGGAGAGAUAGGGCCUGAGAAAUGUAUUAAGGUUCUAACUUCCUUUAGCUCUUGAGCUCUGGGGCAUUCCCCUGUGUCCUUGUAAUUAAUUCUUCCGUUUUGCAUCCAUUUGUUUCUUGCAACCAAAGGAGCUUUGACAAGGCUCACUAGGAAGGGAACAUAUAAUGAGAGGGGGACUCUGUGGAGUAGCCACGUGGAUAGAGUUGCUUCAUGUCUCAAAUUGUCAAUCACAGACUUUUCUAGUCUGGGCUGUGGUUUCCUUGGUUGUACCAGUGUCUUCAAAGCUUACUAGGCAUUUUUUUUUUUUUUAAAUCUAGGUCAGGGGUCAGCAAACUACAGCAUGUGGGCCAAAUCCAGACCAACGCUUAUUUUUGUAAAUAGAGCUUUUAUUCAACACAGAGACGCCCAUUUCUCACAUGUUGAUUUCUCUGAGUUCCAUGUUGCCAUACCCGUGAUUCCUUUCUAGACACAUUUUUUAGAUUUCCCAUAAUCCUUUGCAUUCUUGUUUCCAUGCCAGCUCCUUUUUUUCUCACUCUAAUUGUCCAGUAUCUUGAGCUUGUCAGCUUUAGAUGGAAGAAUUGGAAUCUACCUCCCACCAAGACCUAAACAGUGAGGAGAAAUUCCUCAAAUAGGAAAAAUUUUUGAGUUGCAGUGUCAAGAAAUGACAAAUAUCCGCGGCUGAGGGAUGAGGUGGACUUUUCAGAACCCUGGAGCUUUGGAAGAGGCAGCACGAAGUAGUGGGAAUCAGGAAGUCUGUCUCUCCAUACACACUGUCUCACUAACAGGCUGGAGACCUUAACAGUCACGCAACCCCCUGGAGCUUCAGUUUUCCUGUCUACAAAAUCUAGGGGUUUCUAGAUUUUUAAUUUCAUUGACCAAUAACAUUUCAAAGGGAAUUUUUGGAAUUAACAUUGAUAUCUUGCCAGUUUGUUGCUUUGUUAAGUAAAGAUAUUAUUUAAAAUAACUACCAACUACUAUCACCAUCAUUUUAUGCAAUGAAAUAUAUUUUAUACGAAAAAUUAGGAAGGAUAUCAUCUCAGAAUAAUAAUUAAUUCUUUAAAUUGAGUUAGCUUUUAAGAAAACUUACUAUGUUGGUUUUUUUCUUUUUUCCAACUUCACGUGGACCAGUGAAAGUCUGGCAUUACACCAUGGGUGUAGGGGGAACCGUCAGUAAUGGUUUUUAAGGUCUUUCCCAAGAUCGUGAUUCUUUGAUUUUCUGAAGGCUGGAGAGAGGAGUUUUUGUCUAAGCUUGUUAUGACACUGGAAACUUUUUCCUUUUGAUCCCUUAGCAAACCUUUUUUGGAUGACCUUCAGUGCAUGGCAGAAACUUUACCUUUUAAUGUGUAUUUAAAAAAACCCUUGAAUGGUAAGAGGAAGCCUUUGGGACAAGGAACAUCCACCUCUUUAUGUUGCUUAAUGUUACUGUCGUAGAGGUGCCCAGAGACCUUGGCAGUGAGUGCAUUUCUAUAAAUCUUAAAAAUCAACCAACUAAUCAAUAUGUAGGGAAGGCUGAUAGAUGUGCACUUAGGGGACUAAAUGCCUGGUCCAGGUUGGCCUUUCUCAACGUUGAGGAGACAUUGAUGCUUGGGGAUGUGCAAAGUUUCAUAAAAAUUACCUUUGUCUUGCUCUCCUUCCCACACUUUUCAAAAUCAUACGUUUUGAAGGCAGCUGGGGUCAAGGGAAUUGAAUAUGCACAUUUUGAAGGAAAGAAACCACUGAUGCGUCUAUAAAUACUGAGGAAUAAUAACAGAAGGGAAAGGAACACGUUAUUGACUGUGGCUAAAAGUACAGCAAGGGAUAAUGGGCCUCAUCAGACCAAGGGAAACUUUUCAGCUCUAAGGAUCCAACUUCCUAACAGUGGGGCGUGUGGAGAGGCGUGUAGGUAGAGGCCCUUUUCUGGGUGUUCAGAUCUGAGCACAUGAGAAAUGGAAGGGUUUAGUACCUUCUGUUUACCACCUUAAGAAGGGUGAGCAGCACUGCCUUCACCAGGGGUUUCUAUGGCCAUGGGGGGUUGUGUUUUUUUUCAGCCCUGAGAUCUGUAACUGUGUUUUUCUUCGUAGAUUUUGUGUUGACUCAUUUUGAUUGCUCCAUUUCCUUCCUCUCCUUACAGUCCUAUGUCUGUGGUUGUCUCUUUUUAAAGUUUUAUCUUGCAGGUGCCCUUUGUUUUCCUCUUUGUGUGGACCAUUUUGGUUCAUUGUGUGCAUGCCCAUGUUGUUUACUCUGAUGCUUUUCCUUGAAACUCCUCUUGCUGGCUUGAACGCUUAGCUAUUGGAACACAAAUAACUACCCUGUGAAAGAGAUCUUUCUUUUAUCCACUUUCCCAAGUUACCUGUUGCUGUUCUUUGGAAAGUUCAUGAUUAGGAGCAGUUGUUCAGUCAUGUUGUCUUCAUACAUGAAGGAUGGUUUGUUAUAUGUGGUAUAUUUAUCUUGGGACUGUGAGGUAAAAAGACUGAUUCCUAAACAAAUAUACCAGCAUUUACAGACAACAGCAACAAAAACCAACACCAAGCUAUCCCUCACCAUAGCCUCUUUAUUCCGAUACUACUGCCAAUAGUAAUAAAUAAAUAAAUAACAACAAAAUAAAAUAAAAUAAAAUUCUGGGCUGGGCGCAGUGGCUCAUGCCUGUAAUCCCAGCACUUUGGGAGACAGAGGCAGGCAGAUCACCUGAGGUGAGGAGUUCAAAACCAGCCUGACCAACAUGGUGAAACCCCAUCUCUACUAAAAAUACAAACAGCUGGUCUGGUGGAGCCAUCUCUACUAAAAAUACAAACAGCUGGUCUGGUGGCGCACAUUUGUAGUUCCAGCUACUUGUGAGGCUGAGGCAGAAGAACUGCUUAAACCUGGGAGGUGGAGGUUGCAGUGAGCCGAGUUGACACCUGGUGAGUUCAGCCUGGGCGACUGAGCAAGAUCCUGUCUCAAAAAAAAAUCUGGACUCAUCCAUUGGAAUUACCCUUACAGUUUAUCAUAAAUCACAUCAGAAAAUUGGUCUCGUUACUUCAUAACCCCACUAUUUAAUUAGACCUGAGAUUAUAUUACCAUUUUCCUCUAUCUUAUUUAAUUAAAUCUGCUUCAUAUGCAUUUAAAUGCAGGAUGACAGUGAAAAUAUUUUACAACACAGGCCAGUCAAAACAGAUGAUAGUUAUCAGCAGCAAAUAUACCUGUAGCAAUGUAUAGCCUCUGAAUAUCAAUUUCACUUUAUGCUAUUCCAAAACAUUUUGAAACAUACAAAUGCCCCUCUUGUGGUGAACUUUGAUCAUUUUUGACUUUCCAAUGUUCGACUUUAGCUGCUCUUUUGGGAGACUUCCCCACCGUGUGUGGUUUUCAUGAUAUAGUGGGUAGUGUCCAGCCCCUCACUACUCAUGGUGAGAGGUUAUCAGAAGAAUUUUUUCUUUCCCUACUUCUGAGUUCCAAGAACAUGGCAGAAUCUUGGCUAUCAGAUGCUCUCUUGAGCAAAUCCAAACAAGGCAAAGAGAUUUUAGUGCCCAUUCAAGAUGGAGGCCGUAUCAGUGUCUUGGGGCAGGGAGCAAUAGCAUGGGAUGGUGGUGGUGAAAGUAUUUUAAAUAGACUAUUUCUACUAAAAGAUAAUUGUGUUUCCUGUAUUUCCUAAUUCCCUCUCAAUACAUUUUCGCUUUCUACUUAAGAGAGUCAGAAAUGAUUUCUGUAACUUAUGGCUAAAGGCAUCUAUUUAGGAUCUACAAAGUUGGCCUCAGACUUUAAGAGCAAGUAGGCAUUUUUGUUAAUUGACAAAACCAAUUCUGAGAAAUACCUUGGCAGGCUAGGAUAUGGACCCAAACCAACACUAAAAAUAUAAAUCAAUGUCGUGAGGCCGAGAACUGACUAGCAGCAGUUCAUGUGACAGUGUUCUGUAGUUUUAUUUUGACCGAAGUUCAAUGAGGGCAUCCCAAGAGGUGACAUGACUACUAUCUUUGGGAAAAAGGUGGUCCCAGGAGCCUUUUAUUUGGUUCUGUAUAUUAAAUCCCUUGACAGUAUUUAAGCUGCCUUGUAUAUCUAGCUUUGUGAGAUUAAAGAGACAGUACAAAGGAGAUGACAAAUAAGGAAGAAAACUUAUUUCUAUUAAUUAGACAUUUGUAGGAUAGUACUUCAUUUUUAUAAAUUGAUUUUAUAUGAUUUUAAAAAUUUUAUCUUCCAUAAAGCUACCACUUAUUGGCUCUACUUCGCACAUUGGGAAAUAAACUUAGUGAGCUAGGGUACUUGCUCAAGGUAACACAGCUUGUAUGUGAUAGAGCUAGGAUAUGAACUCAAGACUUUUGACUUCAAACCUCAUACUAUCAUACAACAUCAUCCUUUGAUUGGAAAUUUAUGUGUCUGUAUCAACCCUAUGGGAUUUAUUGAACUCAGGAAUUGAUGUUUGAAUGCUGGAUGUUGUAAAUGACAUCAAUACAUUUGAAUGGUAUAAACUGAUGUCAAAAUACUGUCCUGGGUUUAUCUGAAACCUCUACUGAUUUGUAAUAAGAAGUGCACUAUGAUAGACUGGACAGAAAAAAUGUGGCACAUAUACACCAUGGAAUACUAUGCAGUCAUCAAAAAUGAUGAGUUCGUAUCCUUUGUAGGGACAUGGAUGAACCUGGAGACCAUCAUUCUCAGCAAACUGACACAAGAACAGAAAAUGAAAUACCGCAUGUUCUCAUUCAUAGACUCAGCUCCCACUGGGACUCCAGAUGCGGGUGGAACCACAGGAGAACUGCAAGACCACGCCAUUCAGUGACAGAUCGUGCUGGAGAAAGCCUCCUCAUCGCUGGGCCACUGCGUCUACCACAAAAGCCCCUGUGGGCUGGCACUAAUGGAGGACCUGUGUGGCUACCAAGUAUCAAUGACAUUUGUCAAUGGAGGCCGAUAAAGGUCAAGUAAUUACUGGGAGAGUGGUCAGCUGUCCCCUAGGGAGUGUGGCAGGGCUGCAGUCUCACUGAGCAAGCCCGCAAUGCCUGGCCCGCAGCAUCAGCAAUGAGCACGUCCCAUCAGUGCGGGCAAGGUCGGGAGGCGUCCACAUCAAUAGAUCAUAAGUACUUUAUUGAUGAGUGGUCUUGCAUUCGACAGCCAAGCUUCAAAGGCUGGCUUCUGUGACCCCAUAGGCAAGGUAAGAGAGGCCCGGGAACAGGCCUCCCAUCGUCAGCCGACGUUGGAUAACCUCCCUUUCCACAGAUGCACAAUCAACACUCGGCCACCAACCUACCCACUUUGGCUUCUGCCCUUGUCUUAGGCUUUUGCAGCCUCACUUCAUCCGAUUGGCCUGAGCUGAAAGCCUGUGGAAGAUGGACGCACCUACGGGGGCAGGGGUCUGGGUCCUGUUUGAGGCAGGGUGUCAGCGCAGUUAAGAGCCAGGGGGAGCAGGUAGCUUGAAAGAAUGGUUCAGGGUAAGCACAGCACAUGACAGUUACAGAACACACUGUGACGGAGAGAGAGGCGUCUUGCCCGGGGAAGAUUGACACCAGUCUGUGCUCACCUCUGCGGUAAUGAAAUACUCUGCCUGCUUUCUGGCUGGAAAGAAGAAGAAAGGCAAAUGCAAACAAGUCAUUAGCCUCUUCCUGAAGCACAACCUCACUCCCAACUGGGUGCUGCCACAUUACUAAAACAUGGUGCUGCCUAUGCUCCUCCCAACCCUGUCCUCUCUUCUUUUCUAGGCCUGAGCAUCACUUAUCAAGGAUAGGGUAACGGUAGUGCUAGAGGAAUCUGUAAUGACCUGACUGUCGGUGCCUUUAACAAAGAGAGUCUGCCUUCGAGGUGGGGGUAGGGGGUCAGGAGCAAUUCUAAAGUCAGGAAGCCUUUGGUGACGUUAUGCAUUUCUUAUUUUUGUUCCCCUUUCAGGGGUAUUGGGGUCACCAUCUCAAUGAGUCAAAAACUUGGCGGUGCAUUAUGGGGAGUUUUGUCAUAUUCCUGAAGGUAUCACCAUGGGUUGGUUUUAAUCUGCUCCCAUUCAUUGAAGGAUAAAGAUGGUCACACACGGUGUCAUCUAAAUGUUCUCUGAUGUGCCUGUUUUGCUUAUGCUGGCUCUGAUCCCUCUUAGCACAGCCACAGAUCUAAUCAGAGCUCCUACGUGGACUUUGACUUCAGAGGUCAUGAGAAGGUAACCGGGGGAGCGGAGAUGGCAAAGGUCUGAGACUCUCUGUAGUCAUGAGAAGUUGUCCAUUUUACCUGUGGAAAUCAUAUUUUAAAUAAAGGCCUUUUGAUAUUCAAGGGAAGUAUGUGCAUCUACAUAUGUUUCAACUAAAUCAGGAAAUUAAAAAGGAAGUUUGACAAGGCUGUAGGGGAAUCUCUUAUUUGAGAGUAAAGAUAGAAAGAGGAUGCUUUUACAAUGCUUGCAGUCCUAAAACUAGCCUUAUGGAGUUUGACUUUCCAGCUCCCAGAAGCUAAAAUUUAUGGCUAGGAGAAGUCCUGAUGGAAGGAUUUGCCACUGAGCACAUGGGCAACUAGGCUGUGACUCCUGUUGAAGCCACUCAGUGUACUAGACAAAUUUAUGUUAUCCUGAAAUGCUGAGGAUUCCUACAGAGCAGCCUAAUACCUGUAGGUCCUUCUCUCUAUAAAUACUGUGUCAGGUGCCAUGAAGGAUGCCAAGAAGAUGCAGCUGGGGCAGGGGAGGGGUAAACAAGACAGGCACCUUGAAUGCAGAGAUUCCAAGAAUCCAAGGGUGAAAAUGACGAGCACCAAAUGAGUAGCAAGAGCUCUCGGAGAAAAAUCUCUAUACCCACGUGGUGGGCGUGCAAAAGACUAUUGGGAAGGAGUGAGUCAUUUCUGAGGAAGAAAGGUAGAGAUGGUUCAAGAGGCCUUCACAGAUGAAAGGGGUCUGGAGGUUAGGUGAGAUUUGGGGAAGGCAGAGAAACCAUUCCCAACAGGAGAUCAGCCUGAAGGUGAGAAACGUGGGCGAUAGGGAGUUGGAUGCAAGAAAAGGUUGAGACAGGUUAGCCCGAGAGGGUCAAAUUCCAUCCAGCCAAGGGGUUCCAGUGAGGGAGUUUUGUUGGGAGUGGAGGGGAGUGCAGAAAUGGAGCGAUUCCAUGUAAAUGUCACUGUGUGAGCAGAAUGGACUCAGUGGUGAGGGACUACAGAUCUGGAAAUCAGUUGUAGACCUAGGAUGCUACUGUAGUGUCCAAGUGUGAAUCGAAAUGCCUCAAUGACUCCUUGGCAUAGGAUUUGCUCGAUUCACUAACCUCUGCUUCAAUUCAAAAAGCAUGGGCUACUCUAUGCCUAGGUUGUAACAUUAGAAAAUUUUCAGUAAAGGCAUUGUCCUGUCAAUCCUACACCAAACUGCUCAUGCAUUGUUUGCGGUGAUGCUCUAUGUCUUUGCCCCGAUUCUCCACCAGUUAUAAUUCAUCUCCGAAAAAUUCUUUAACCAGGCCAAGGCCCAUAGCAGUACUAUAAAAAUAAUUUGUGACCUAAAGAGUUCUGACUUCUCUGAAAUAGAACUGACUUGGUUGUUGCUGUGAAUGUCUAUCUGUCUUUUUCCUUAAAUGGGUAAAAAGCAUAAAUCACAGAAGAGGAAUAAAGUUCAUAUUGCAAGAGCAACUAAAAGAAUCGUUCAAUGACUACUAGUGUUUACCAGCACAUAUAUUUAAAAGAUCCCCGUUUCCAUAAGAACGUGAGUGGCUUACACCCAAAUGUGACUAUCAAUUCAGCAGCGAUUACAACUUAAGCCAUAAUGAAAAUUAGUUUGCAAUUGUAGCAAACCCUGGCAAUUUAGGGCUCUGGAGCUCCUUCGGGUCGUGAGGUUAUCAUUACACUGCCCUCAUGCGCCUCAGUCUAGUUGAGGUAGUCAAUAGAGAUGAAUCCUGACUGAUGGGUAAAGGCCUCUGAAUGUAUUCACUGCUGAUGGGUGUGUGUCAUCAGCAGCAGUCUGAGGGUUGUGUCACAGAAGCCCAGGGCAUUCAGACAAGUCAUCUGAUAGCCUACAUGUUGUUAUAGCCGAUGAUAGGCUGUUAAACUCUGUUAUGGAGAACGUGAUUGCAGAUGUCAAAUUGACAAGCAAUUCUGUUGCUGAUAUAUGUAAGAAAGGGAGACCCAUUAAUGGUGUAAAUCGGUGACUUCCUCAGGUCUUUCAAUCCAUCAGCAGAGACAAUUCUUUCCUAAAUAUUUGUGCAAUCUUAGCACGUUUUGGUCAAGAGAUUUUUGUUAACACAAGGGUCAUUUUGUCCAUUCUUGAACAAAGAGCUUAUAGCAUUUGAGAGCCAGGGAGAUGGUGGUGAGUGAUGUCCAAACAGAAACAGCCAAUCACCUUCCCUGUUUUUAGCAUGUUUUGGUCAAGAGAUUUUUGUUAACACGAGGGUCAUUUUGUCCAUUCUUCAACAAAGAGCUUAUAGCAUUUGAGAGCCAGGGAGAUGGUGGUGAGUGAUGUCCAAACAGAAACAGCCAAUCACCUUCCCUGUUUUUUCUGUUCUGGACACAAGUAUUCUCUCUCUUCCUCUAAGUGAUGAUUUUUAUCUUCUUUAUAUUGUAAAUUCAUUCUAGGCUCAUUGUAUUCUGAAAGUUAAGGUUAAACUCUCUUAGAAUUAUUUGGGCAACUCUGAUUAGGAUAUUGGUUCUAGAAAUAUAGGAGAAUACUCUCAUUUCUCAAACAAAAUGUAUUUUUCCAAGAUGCAAACUAGUGUCUUCUUGCAUUUGGCUAUGUCCAAGACAGGGAACAGGAGAAGCAUCAAUAUAGAGAGAGGCUUUAGAAGUGAAUCUGAAUCAGAGAAUGUAAAGGCAUAAAGACAAGCAGAUGAAAGCAUUUAAUCAGGGGAAGACACUAGCCCAAGAGUAAAUGGGUUUAAUCUUGCAGGAAAUGCCAGUCCUCUGGCCAUGGCUUUCUGGAGCUCUGGAGGUUCCAGAGUUUGGGAAGAAACAGUUUCUUCAUUGUCAUGACUGAUUGAUUGACAACGUCUGGCAUGGGUAUGGGGAUAGGAAUGGCAAUGUGUUCCAAGAUGGUAUCACUACAGCCCAGGAUAUGAGACAAAUUACCUUAGACCAACCUGCAAGAAAUGGAUGACAUAUAUUCGUUUGAUGAGCAACUGUGAGAAAGGAUUUUUGAAGGUUUAUACUUUAAUGUUUUUAUUAGGGGUACCAAUAGGUACUGUGCCCCUGGGAGUAUCCACCUACUUGAUGUUUUUUUAUUGUCGGUUAGAAUUAGAGCCCUUGCUUGGUGCUCUAUUGUUUGGUUCAACUUUAGGAACACACUCACAGGCAAGAGUAAAGAACUGGAGGUGUCAGGAUCUUUAAAAUGGCACUUUCUGUCACACUAUUAGAGGAAUAAUUGAAAAUGGAUGUUAUUUAAACAGCAAUAACAAUAAAAACAAUCCUCUCCCCUAAAAGCUUCUUAAAAGCCAUUAAAGAUAAUUCUCCUUAAUAGAGUUUAAGAUGUACACCAAGGAAAAAAAAGUUCCCCACUGGCUGGGUUUAAGCCCAGGCUUUGCCACUAACUAGUAGGAGAUCACUGAUGAAUUACUUUGUCUCUUAGGAUCUCAGUCUACUCGUCUGUAAAAUAGGAAUAAUAAUGUCCACUUUGUAAGGUUACUGUGAGUACUAAGAUAAUCUAUGCAAAGCACUCAACACUGCUUUGCCAGCCAAAUAAGUGUUCAGUAAGUGGUCAUUCAUAGCUUUUGUUUUCAUGCUUGUGUGGUAACUCUUGGGCAUUUACACUAAGUUGCAAAAACUCUUUUGAAUUAUUCUGACUGUUGUAUUUUUUACGACGAAAAUUGUUUACCAUGAUGAAUAGAAGAUGAUAGCUUAUUAUGAAACAUAAUUUAAUAUUCCCUGUUUUAUAAUAGAAUGCUCACUGGAAGCUUUCGUGGGGGCACCAAGACCCAGUUGGUGCUGCAUUCCUGGGGAGGAACUUGACUACAUGCUGGAUUUAUGGGGGAGCUUACUGAAAACCAUCUAGACAGUUCCAGAACUCAGGUCUCAACAACCAGGAGAGACACAGAGAAGUUUUGAUAAUCUGUGUCUUCCUCACUUCCAGAGGUGGAGGAUAGGGAGCUUUCUCCUUACCUGAAGGAUAAUGAAAAUGGCUGAAUAAAUAUUGUGCUCUCAAAUUUGGGGGAAAUAUUAUUGAGGAAUGAAAAGGUGAGAGGCUAUGGAUUUUGAGCUGAAGAAGGAGGAAAAAGAAAACGGGAGGGUGAAAGAGAGGAAAAUCGAAGAAGAAGAGGAAGGAAGUGAAGAGGGAUGGAGAGAGAAAGAGAGUGAGAAAGAUCACUGUCUGCCAUUGGCACUAGCUACUCUCCUGUGAUAGCAGGAGCAAGAAUGUGUGAGUGUUUCUCUGGGCUCAGUAUCAUGGGUCUGAACCAUUUAAAAUCCUGUCCCAGAGGACUCCUUGGGGAAUGGGUACUGGGACAACAACCAGAGAGGCCUUUGAACAGUAGAUCUGGAGGAAACGAAGCUCUGAGCAGGAAGUGGGCAGCCAGAAGGAAACACAGUGCCCAUAACAACGUGCCACUGAAAGGUCCCAGCCGGGCCUCAAAAGAGCUCAUGAAAGUGCCCCCAAGAGUUGUCCUGAGCCAUUGGCUGGUCCAGAGAGCGGGAAGCCUUCUGCCAUUCUCAUCUGCUCCUCUCUCCUUUCCUCACCUCAGCCUGACUGGUGGAGGGCAUCACUCGCAUGCUGGAGCAGGAUGGGAACCAUUCCAACAGGGACAACAGGAGGGGCCAGCUACACUUUCCCACAGCAGCAAGCAGCAGGAAGGAGGCCCCCGUUGGGGCUGCUAAUGGUAUUUUAAGUUAGGGUGGCAGUUGGGACUGUUGUCAGGGAAUGGGCAACUUAUUUGCAAUUUAAAGUGACAGUACAAGAUUGUGUUACCUGAGAUGCCAGGAGAAGUCAAGAAGCAAGAAGCCGCUGAGCUUUUUGUUCAAGAGCAGAGGAAGGAACAGCACCCCUGAGAAGGCUGAAAGGGACUCUCAAAUAUUAACGUCAGUGACACUCAGGAAAGACGUUUUUGUGAGUCAUAAUGAACAUCGGGACUUUGUCAACUAAGAAUGCUUGAAAAACAAGAGGAGAAAAGAAAGCAAGAAGGAGACAAGGGAAAAGAGAGAAGAAAGAAUUUAAGAAGCCAGCAGAGGUAGAGCAUUUUAAAUUGUGAGCAGACUAUAUUUUCCCAUAAACUAUGAAUCUGGCUUAUUUCUGAGAGGUAGUGGCUGCUAUUAAUAAUAGUGAUUGUUGAAGUUUCAGCUGACUUGAACAUGUGUACUAUUCAAAUGCAUUAGUUGUGCAGUUGUUGAAGCAGAAGAAACCUAUUGUGUCUAUCUGUGUUUUCCAAUUACAAAUGACGAGGCAGGGAGAAGGGAUCCUGUUAGAUGCUAAUGAUGUAAGACAAGAUGAAUAAUGUCGAUUCCAAAGGUGCUUUACAGGAAUAAUUUGCGUAUAGAGUGUGGCCUGAACCCUAGUUACGCAGCCCAUUAGCAGCAAACCUCGCAGAAGAAAGUCUACAUCUCAGGGAACUGACAGGUCCCCCCAGGUAGGAGUCAACUCAAUGGAUACAAUGACCAUCCUUAUUGGACUUGAGUAUUUCUCAGACCCUUUGGCAAAAUGAAGUAAGCAGCCUUCGCCCCAUUCUGAACGGUUGACAGUUCCUACCACAAUAAUACGACAACUGAAACUGGCACACUGCACGCUUUGGAGCUUUCAGAAGCAUCGGUAGAAAAAGGAUUUGAUCCUGAAUAUAAUCGAAGGAGUAAACUAAAUUUACACAUGAUUAUAUCACAUUGACAUGAGAAUUAAAUGAGAAUUCAUUGUAACUGCCCUCGUGGUCUAUUCCUGGUGUGGCUGGUUGGCAGCAAUCGGUGUCUAGGAAAUGUAUCCUUUUUUUAAACACAUUAUAGGUGCCUGCCAUGAGCACCAGUUUUAAAAUUAUAUAUGAAUUAUAUAUCUGCAUAAUGAAAAGCAUACAAAAGCUCUGGAUUACUUAAGGCUAAUUGAUUUCUCUGUGGUACUUUUUUCCUUCUACUCUGAAUAUGUUUUACUCAACUAGAAAGUAGGACGAUGAAAACAGGAGAUGGAAGAGUCAAUGGUGCAAAAUGUUAUCUCCAGCUAUUGUCAAGGUUCAGUUGGGCUGAACUUAUUUCCUAAAACUUCACAUGUUGAAACCUCAAGUCCAAUGCAAUGGUAUCUGCAGUGACUACAAAUUAAACUAUGAGCUCCUUUCAUUUCCUUGGUAGCUGCCGACCCUAUCAAAUUGCUACAACAUCUUUCCCCCUUAAAAGAGAAGCACAACUGUGGUGAAGCCAUCGUUUUACGGAAAGACCAACUUUGUGAG
Molecule: non-coding RNA, 40168 nt
Organism: Callithrix jacchus (white-tufted-ear marmoset)
Lineage: Eukaryota; Metazoa; Chordata; Mammalia; Primates; Cebidae
Source: RefSeq, a predicted model, not a curated record